CCUAGCUAAUAGCCAUUUCUCUCCUUUUUGCUUUGCCAGCCAACCCUGAUUUUUUAUUCAGAUAUAGGCCAGCCUUGUGCCGGAGGGAAGGCUGGGAUUUUCUCCAGCCUCAGGGAAUAAAACUUAAUUGGUCUAAGCCAUUCCAGAUAAUUCCCCUGGUCUUGUCAGUGAUUCGCUUGGGAAUAAGCAUGUGACAUUAUUUUGGCCAAAGAGACCUGAGGGAAGUCUGUCAGAAGCUUCUGGAAAAUGUUCUUGUGUUCUUAAAAACAAAAACCAAAAACCUGACCUGCAAAAAGAAGCUUCUUCUCACGCAGGAGGUGUCGGAAACGAGGGCAGCCAUUUUGCAGGCUGGCGAGGCGAAGGAGCGAGCCUGAGAGGAUCAGCCAGUAAAGGAAAGAUUGGCAGAACCAGCACUGCUUUUCCUUGCCAAGCUUCUGAGUGCACCAACCUCGCAACCAUCCCUAAACUGGGCAUCUUGUCACAUGGUAAGAUAAAAAGCUUUGCAAUUCCUGCUGUUCAAAAUCUCCUGCUACUUGUAACCAAAAGCAUCCUAUCUGACAGACUUUUUCUUGUCAUUAGGUAUUCUUCCACAGCAUUAUUUGAACCAGACCUACUCUAUUCUGACUGGCAUCCCAUAACCCAUGUGACUACUUCCCUCUAGACACUGAGUUCAUUCAGUGUUUUGCUAUUUCUAGCUCUGUGGCAAUGGCACCCCUGAGCCCAUUUCCUAUUUCCUUAGUUUAAAUUCCGAGUUGAGUGUUAUCAACAGUUUUAAGGUUCUUAAUACAUAUUGUAAAUUGCCCCGGAGUCAUUAUUAAUGUGUUUUGUACCAAUCUUUAAAAAUUCUUCAUGGAAGGUUGAGCUAUCAGAAGAAUCAUUAGCAAAAAAUAUUAUUCCUGCAAGUACAAAUUUAUUUUCCAGAAUGAGUUCCAUUUAAGCAAAGUACAUCUUCUAAUGAACUUUAAUACUUUAUAUUCUUUAGCUAUGUUACGCUGGACUCAAGUUAUUAGGAACAAAGGAUAUUAGAUCCCAGGGCUAACUAAGGUCAUAUGUUUGGGCUGACGACUCUCAACUCCUCUACCCAUAUUCUUGGAAUCACCUAGGGACCUUAAAUAAAACCCCACCUAACCUUUACUGAGGUAUAAUUGAUGUACAAUAAAUUGCAUAUGAGAAAAAUGAACAAUUUGGUGAGUUUUACUAUAUAUAUACAUCCAUGGAGCCAUCACCAAAAUUAAGAUAAUAAAUACUUUAUCACCCUCCAAUUGCAGGGAUAACCAUCCUUGGUUGCCUGAUGGCCAAUGACAUGAAACCUAUUAUAUCAUGUAUUUUGUCUGUUUUUUUAGCUGUCUUAGGUGGGAAGGAAAAACCCACUCCCCGUUACUCCAUCUUGGAGAGAAGCAGAUACUCCCCAUGUGAAGAGCUUUUAUAAAACAAUCACUGUGCUCCAUCAUGGAACAAAUGAACUGUAAUAUUUUGGGGAAGGACUUGUAUACCAUAGUUAUUUUUUGAGGAAGGUAUAAUUUACAUGCAAUAAAAUUCAUCCUUUUCUGUGUACAAUUUUGUGGGUUUGGGCCAAUGAAUACAAUCAUGAAACUAUCACCAUACUCAUGAUACAGAAUAAUUCCAUUCCCUCUUCCAAAUUUUCUUCUGCUCCACCCCUUUGUAGUCAACCCCCACCUCCACUUCUAGCAACCCCUAGCUCCUGGCAACCACUGAUUCCCCCCCACUCCCCAUAGUGUUAGGGUACAUGGACCAGAGUAGAUGUUUGAGCAAGGGAGAUUGGCAGAUGGAGGGUCUAGAGUCAAAAACACGCAUUUGCUCCCUUGAAGAAACACAGGAGCAAGUACACUUGGCCAAAGCUGUAGUUUAUCCCUUAGCCUGAUGAACAGCUCUGAUCUUCAUCUAUAUUUCUUGGGCACAGAACAUAUAGGGCCAGAAGGACCAUCAUCACUGGGGUUAAUUUAAGGCCUCAAGAAUACUGAUUCUAUCAUGAUUAGUAGAUGUCUCUUGGUCCUUGUAUUUUUCUCUAUGUUCAGCAUUCACCUGCUCUAUAUACUCUAUUGUGUCCCUAGGUGACCAACUUAUGUAGCCAUACAUCCCAUUUGUUUUUGUCUUCUAACACAGGAUUGAUUUUUCUCUAAUAAUAUACAAAUACACAUUAUGUUGUAGUAUGCAUAAAUGCCAUCUUUCAGGUGUAGACACAGGAAGGUGAGGAGAGACAUCACUCACAGGAUUUGAGAGAAAGGGAUUGGAUCAGUGAAGGCAAAUGUACAGCAACAUCAUAAUUGUAUGAAAUCAUAACAGUUAUUUAAAGUUCCCUUGUCUGGGUCUCAUAAAAGCCCUACAAAUGGGAUACUCUUAUUUCCAUCUUCCAGAUGAGGACAUAAGCACGUAGAAGGUAGUCUGGAACAAAGAUUUCAAAGUAACAACCUGGUUCAGACUUAUGGAGUUUUCAGCCAUAGACCUGCAUGGGGGAUUGCAUAGAAGCUUCUAUCCACUUUGGAGUUCAGCCUCCUUCAUUCUCUUCUCCUCUGUGUGUGUGUUGCACCUGUAAGUGGAGUCAUUAGUUCUCUAAGUGUGGUCCCUGGACCAGCUGUCUCACUAUCACCUAGGAAAUUUUAAAAAUUGAGCUAAAAUUCACAUCACUUCCAAGUGGCCAUGUUAAUGGUAAAUGGUACAAUUCAUUCUCACUUAGUUAUACUGUUGAGUGUUGUGCAACUGUCUCCUCUAUCUGGCUGCUAACCAUUUUCGUCACCGAAAGGAAAUCCUGUACCCACUGAGCAGUCGCUCCUCAUCCCCCACUCCCCCCGCCUCCCCCCUGCACCAGCCCCUGGCAACCACAGAUCUUCUGUCUCUACAGAAUCAUACAAUAUAUGGCCAUUUGUGUCUGGCUCCUUUCACAUACCAUACUGUUUUUGAGGCUCACCCAAGCUGUAACAAGUAUCAGGACUUCAUUCCUGCCUAUUAUUCUAGGAACUUUUUAGAAAUGUCAAUACCUUGCCUCAUUUGGACCAAGUGAAUCAGAAACUCUGAAUGUGGGGUCCAGCCAUUUGUGUCCUUCUGGUUAUUCGGAUGCGUGCCAGAGUCUAAGAGCCACUGAUUUAGGAGAUGUCAGCCUAUGCUGUUUAACCCAGAACGAAGAUGUUGGGUUCCUAAAUUCAGAAUUGUGAUAUUCUGCCAAAAAGCCACAGUCGGUAUAGAUGUUUUAAAAACUAAAUGUUUUUUGCCUUUUUCUUGAGUGGUAGCAGAGGGCUGUCAGGAUCUGCCAGAUUCAUUUCUUGUCUUAGAAAACAUAUUGAAAAACUAGAGCAUGGUCUUUCAAAAUAAUCCCAGACUAUUUUUAAUAUCUCUCUGUUAACUUCAACCUUUUCCAUUUCAUUUCCAUUCUAUUUCUAGAAUGUCUAAUUGCUUCUCAAACAUCUCCAGAUGUGCCUUCCAUUACCCAGGCUUUGUAGGUGGCUGCAAACAGGACCAUCCCAGCAGACUCUUUUCUUCCUUCCCCUGUGGUACAGUACAGAUUUGUCCUGUACACACGCACACCUAAACUCAAGAGCCUGCUUGGAAGGCCGUCAGCUGCAAUGAACCUAAAGGAAUUUCUGUAAUUUGACACCCCAAUCCCGUAUUUCUUCUCUGGUAUUUCCCCCUCGCGGUGGCUUGGACAACCCACCUGACCCUCUGCUAGUAGUUUGUAGACUUAGGAAGAAUUGUCUAGGAUGGAAUGGGAACCUGUAGUAGUCCCUAUAAGCAACCAGCUGUCAAAUAAUUUGGGUUCAAGUGCUGACUUGAUUCAUGCUCGUUUGUUCAACAAAUACAGUAUUCAUUGAAAACCAUAUAAACUAUCUAUAGGGUGAGGAGACAGCAGUGAACAAGAAAGACACUGCCCCCCCCCAUCCCCAUUCUGGGGGGCUUAAAGUCUAGAGGGAGGUCAAAAUAAGGAAAGAGGUGGUUUUAGCACUGUGUGAGGAUGUCACAGGGGGAAGUUGCUAUAAAAUAGCAAUGUAUACUGGAGAGGCACAUAUUCCCGCAGAGAUGGAGGUGGGGAUGACAACUCUGAGGAGAAAGAGAUGGGUAAAUUUAGACAUGAAGGAUGAAUAGAAUUAGUUAUCAAAAUUUAGAGUUGGGUGGGGUGGGUGUGUUUUUAUUGAGGAAAGCAUUCCAAAAAGGAAAUGGCAUGGGCAGAGGUUGAGGGGAGAGAAGAGGCAUGUAUGAUACUAGGAACGAAAAGGAUCUCCAGCAAUUGCACUACUAGGUAUUUAUCCUAAGUAUAUAAAAAAGUUGAUUUGAAGGGUCACAUGUACCCCAAUGCUUAUAGCAGCACUAUCAACAAUAGUCAAAUUAUGGAAAGAACGCAAAUGUCUGUUGACUGAUGAAUGGAUAAAGAUGUGAUACAGGGGCACCUGGUGGCUCAGUCAGUUGGGCAUCUGCCUUUGGCUCAGGUCAUGAUCCCAGGGUCCUGGGAUCAAGCCCCACAUCAGGCUCCCUGCUCAGCAGGGAGUCUGCUUCUCCCUCUGCCCCUGCCCCCACUCAUGCUUUCUCGAUCACUCUCUCAAACAAAUAAAAUCUUUUUUUAAAAAAGGAAGAUGUGUAUAUACAAUGGAAUAUUAUUACUCAGUGAUCAAAAUCAAGAAAUUCAGGAAUAAAAUCUUGCCAUUUGCAACAAUGUGGAUGGAACUAAACUGCAUUAUAUUAAGCAAAAUAAGUCAGAAAAA
Molecule: long non-coding RNA, 4709 nt
Filed under: Canis lupus familiaris (dog)
Lineage: Eukaryota; Metazoa; Chordata; Mammalia; Carnivora; Canidae
Description: lncRNA (ENSCAFG00000057963.1)
Source: RNAcentral